UGGGAAAUAUUGCACAAUGGGCGAAAGCCUGAUGCAGCGACGCCGCGUGAGGGAUGACGGCCUUCGGGUUGUAAACCUCUUUCAGUAGGGACGAAGCGCAAGUGACGGUACCUGCAGAAGAAGCACCGGCUAACUACGUGCCAGCAGCCGCGGUAAUACGUAGGGUGCGAGCGUUGUCCGGAAUUACUGGGCGUAAAGAGCUCGUAGGCGGUUUGUCACGUCGUCUGUGAAAUCCUAGGGCUUAACCCUGGACGUGCAGGCGAUACGGGCUGACUUGAGUACUACAGGGGAGACUGGAAUUUCUGGUGUAGCGGUGGAAUGCACAGAUAUCAGGAAGAACACCGAUGGCGAAGGCAGGUCUCUGGGUAGUAACUGACGCUGAGGAGCGAAAGCAUGGGUAGCGAACAGG
This 409-nucleotide ribosomal RNA is filed under the name bacterium. RNAcentral's name for it is "partial 16S ribosomal RNA". It matches the Rfam family "Bacterial small subunit ribosomal RNA", at positions 355 to 776 of the family's 1533-position model. The record is from RNAcentral.